AGACCUUCAGAUCAACAUCCUUACAAAUCCUGACUGCUUGUCAAAAACACAAUUUGAAAUUACUGGAUUGCCAGAGAGAAGAAACCAGGUGAGAAUCCAGUUUUACAGAACAGCAUCCAGCCAUCCUCACACUUGAAAGGUGCCAGCUGGCCAUUAUUGCUACAGAGGUGUUACAGACAAAUGCAUCUCUAUAGAUGUAGACAGCAUUCGUGUUACAUCCUGAUAGGAAAAGAUUCUCAUAGACUGGUGUGUGAUCACAUAGUUAAUGCUUCUGUGUUGCUGAGGUAAGGUGCAAAGAUAACUGUGAAUCUAACUUCCCUCAAAUGUUAAACUUGCAGUUUAAAAAAGCUUGUAUCUUGCUGCUACUUGCAUCUCUCUUCCUCAGUUUAUAACAAAGAGAACUAAAUUUUGCAAAGAAAUCAUGUCUAAUCUGCUCAAAUGGUUUAACAGCAGAACUGGAAAGUGUAUUUACUGCACAGACAUGUUGAUGCUUGUAUCAGUAAAACUGUUAUAUAUUUCACUUAAGUUGAAAAUUAAUUAAUAUUUGUAACCUAAUGUUUCCUAACAUGGGGGUUUUAGUCAAAGCCUAUCUCAAGUAUCUCGUAUUUAGUCAAGCAAAUUCCUUACUUUAAAUAAUACUUGUUUCUACUUUUCUCAUUUCAGUAGGAAAAAAAUUAUCCCCUAGUCUUUUUCUUCGUUCUUGCUCUCACUGUUCCUUACUCUUGUGUUUUUUUUUUUUUUUUUUGCAGGCUCUCUUGUACUGCUUGCUUCUGUCCCUGUCUGAACAUCUGCUUCUUUGCACUAUGACUCCUGCCUCAGUUCUUCCCCCUCUAGGCACAUUAUCGCUCUUGGAGAAAAGUAGACCAAGAGGACAUCUAAUUGUUUUGUUCUACUAA
RNAcentral lists this long non-coding RNA (896 nucleotides) under Phasianus colchicus (ring-necked pheasant). RNAcentral describes it as "lncRNA (ENSPCLG00000017066.1)". Lineage: Eukaryota; Metazoa; Chordata; Aves; Galliformes; Phasianidae. The record is from RNAcentral.